RNAcentral lists this ribosomal RNA (316 nucleotides) under Fusarium oxysporum. Its description in RNAcentral is "SSU rRNA". It matches the Rfam family "Eukaryotic small subunit ribosomal RNA", at positions 47 to 367 of the family's 1831-position model. Lineage: Eukaryota; Fungi; Ascomycota; Sordariomycetes; Hypocreales; Nectriaceae. The record is from RNAcentral.
AGCCAUGCAUGUCUAAGUAUAAGCAAUUAUACCGCGAAACUGCGAAUGGCUCAUUAUAUAAGUUAUCGUUUAUUUGAUAGUACCUUACUACUUGGAUAACCGUGGUAAUUCUAGAGCUAAUACAUGCUAAAAAUCCCGACUUCGGAAGGGAUGUAUUUAUUAGAUUAAAAACCAAUGCCCUUCGGGGCUCACUGGUGAUUCAUGAUAACUCCUCGAAUCGCAUGGCCUUGUGCCGGCGAUGGUUCAUUCAAAUUUCUUCCCUAUCAACUUUCGAUGUUUGGGUAUUGGCCAAACAUGGUUGCAACGGGUAACGGGG